CCAUUCUAAGCGGUGGAUCACUCGGCUCGU
Molecule: ribosomal RNA, 30 nt
Filed under: Longidorus elongatus
Lineage: Eukaryota; Metazoa; Nematoda; Enoplea; Dorylaimida; Longidoridae
Also listed under: 6 other names
Description: partial 5.8S ribosomal RNA
Source: RNAcentral